This 377-nucleotide ribosomal RNA is filed under the name uncultured Serratia sp. Its description in RNAcentral is "bacterial SSU rRNA". It matches the Rfam family "Bacterial small subunit ribosomal RNA", at positions 521 to 897 of the family's 1533-position model. Lineage: Bacteria; Pseudomonadati; Pseudomonadota; Gammaproteobacteria; Enterobacterales; Yersiniaceae. The record is from RNAcentral.
UAAUACGGAGGGUGCAAGCGUUAAUCGGAAUUACUGGGCGUAAAGCGCACGCAGGCGGUUUGUUAAGUCAGAUGUGAAAUCCCCGGGCUCAACCUGGGAACUGCAUUUGAAACUGGCAAGCUAGAGUCUCGUAGAGGGGGGUAGAAUUCCAGGUGUAGCGGUGAAAUGCGUAGAGAUCUGGAGGAAUACCGGUGGCGAAGGCGGCCCCCUGGACGAAGACUGACGCUCAGGUGCGAAAGCGUGGGGAGCAAACAGGAUUAGAUACCCUGGUAGUCCACGCUGUAAACGAUGUCGAUUUGGAGGUUGUGCCCUUGAGGCGUGGCUUCCGGAGCUAACGCGUUAAAUCGACCGCCUGGGGAGUAUGGUCGCAAGGCUGG